This 440-nucleotide ribosomal RNA is filed under the name uncultured bacterium. RNAcentral's name for it is "partial 16S ribosomal RNA". It matches the Rfam family "Bacterial small subunit ribosomal RNA", at positions 338 to 795 of the family's 1533-position model. The record is from RNAcentral.
CCUACGGGUGGCAGCAGUGGGGAAUAUUGCACAAUGGGCGAAAGCCUGAUGCCGCGACGCCGCGUGAGCGAAGAAGGCCUUCGGGUCGUAAAGCUCUGUCCUAUGGGAAGAAAGAUGACGGUACCCUAGGAGGAAGCCCCGGCUAACUACGUGCCAGCAGCCGCGGUAAUACGUAGGGGGCGAGCGUUGUCCGGAAUGACUGGGCGUAAAGGGUACGUAAGCGGCUAGAUAAGUCAGAUGUGAAAGGCAUAGGCUUAACCUGUGUAAGCAUUUGAAACUGUAAAGCGUGAGUAAAGGAGAGGAAAGUGGAACUCCCAGUGUUACGGUGAAACGGGGAGGGAGCAGGAGGAAACCCAGUGGCGAAGGCGGCUUUCUGGACUUAGACGGACGCUGGGGAACGAAAGCGUCGGGAACAAGCAGGAUUAGAGACCCCAGUAGUC